UUUGGAUUACUGGCUGCACCGGUACAGCUGAUGCACCACCGAAUUUUCGUUGCAGCUAAGUCACACGUGACUCUUAUAAGGGCUAACAGAACCAGACGCAUGCUGUGGAGGUGGAAGACGACGCUCGCUCCAAGUUUUCUCUCUAAAUCGAAUCGUAAGAGCCUCCAGCUCUUUUCUCUGCUUGCCUAAAUCCAAUCAUA
RNAcentral lists this long non-coding RNA (200 nucleotides) under Prunus persica (peach). RNAcentral describes it as "long non-coding RNA (PPER_LNC002094)". The record is from RNAcentral. Lineage: Eukaryota; Viridiplantae; Streptophyta; Magnoliopsida; Rosales; Rosaceae.